RNAcentral lists this ribosomal RNA (445 nucleotides) under uncultured soil bacterium. RNAcentral's name for it is "bacterial SSU rRNA". It matches the Rfam family "Bacterial small subunit ribosomal RNA", at positions 950 to 1393 of the family's 1533-position model. The record is from RNAcentral.
CACGGGGGGAACGCGAAGAACCUUACCAAGGCUUGACAUGGACCGGACCGCCGCAGAAAUGUGGUUUCCCCUUUGGGGCCGGUUCACAGGUGGUGCAUGGUUGUCGUCAGCUCGUGUCGUGAGAUGUUGGGUUAAGUCCCGCAACGAGCGCAACCCUCGUUCUAUGUUGCCAGCGCGUUAUGGCGGGGACUCAUAGGAGACUGCCGGGGUCAACUCGGAGGAAGGUGGGGACGACGUCAAAUCAUCAUGCCCCUUAUGUCUUGGGCUUCACGCAUGCUACAAUGGCCGGUACAAAGGGUUGCGAUACUGUGAGGUGGAGCUAAUCCCAAAAAGCCGGUCUCAGUUCGGAUUGGGGUCUGCAACUCGACCCCAUGAAGUCGGAGUCGCUAGUAAUCGCAGAUCAGCAACGCUGCGGUGAAUACGUUCCCGGGUCUUGUACACACGC